GAUUGAACGCUGGCGGCAUGCUUUACACAUGCAAGUCGAACGGCAGCGCGGGCUUCGGCCUGGCGGCGAGUGGCGAACGGGUGAGUAAUGCAUCGGAACGUGCCCAGUAGUGGGGGAUAGCCCGGCGAAAGCCGGAUUAAUACCGCAUACGACCUGAGGGUGAAAGCGGGGGACCGAAAGGCCUCGCGCUAUUGGAGCGGCCGAUGUCGGAUUAGCUAGUUGGUGGGGUAAAGGCUUACCAAGGCGACGAUCCGAAGCUGGUCUGAGAGGACGACCAGCCACACUGGGACUGAGACACGGCCCAGACUCCUACGGGAGGCAGCAGUGGGGAAUUUUGGACAAUGGGGGCAACCCUGAUCCAGCCAUGCCGCGUGCGGGAAGAAGGCCUUCGGGUUGUAAACCGCUUUUGUUCGGGAAGAAAUCCUCUGGGCUAAUACCCCGGGGGGAUGACGGUACCGGAAGAAUAAGCACCGGCUAACUACGUG
RNAcentral lists this ribosomal RNA (485 nucleotides) under uncultured bacterium. Its description in RNAcentral is "partial 16S ribosomal RNA". It matches the Rfam family "Bacterial small subunit ribosomal RNA", at positions 27 to 507 of the family's 1533-position model. The record is from RNAcentral.